CCUGGAAUGUUUUCCCUUGGAAAAUGUUUGAAAGUACCUGCUAUCUGGUGCAAUCUGGUGCAUUCCACAGAAAAGAGAUUUUGCUCCUCCAAGGCAUUUUUAUGAGCCCUAGGACGUAGACAUACUCCGAGAAAGCACCUCAACCUUUUGAAAAGGAACUCCACCUGAGAUCCAGACUGAAUAAAGGCUUGCCUCCACUUAAAUGUUUUGCUAUUCUUCCAAUACCAAUAUAGUUAAAGUGCCAGAUUCCACCCCCUAGUGUGGAUGCAGUUAUAUGGUAUAGAAGUGCUUAUACUAGUAUAGUUUAUUCUGGUUCAGGAAGGCCAUCUCUGCACUAGAAACAAAUGACAGUAUAGGAAUACCAGGAUACUAUACUGACAAAGCAUUCCUGCCUAAAGCUGCAAAACUGAAUGUAAUAAAACUACCCCUCAUAAGCAAAACAAGCUAUACCAGGCAUAAAAGCACAGUUUUACUGGUGUAGCUACAUCUACCUCAGGGGCUUCUGCCAGCACAGCUAUGUCAGUCAGAGAUCACACCUCUUACACCCCAGCUCAACACAGCUAUGCCAGCAGAAGUCUGUCGUGUAGGCAUAGCCUAAAUGAGAAAAGCUAUACCAAUAUAAGGCACUUUUAUACUGAUAUAAAUAUAUCUACACUAGGGCUUUUACCAGCAUAGCUAUGCUGGCAAAAAUUCACACCCCUACCGAACAUAGUUGUUCUGGUAAAAAGUUUUAAGUGUAGACAAGCCCUGAGAG
Molecule: long non-coding RNA, 754 nt
Organism: Gopherus flavomarginatus (Mexican gopher tortoise)
Lineage: Eukaryota; Metazoa; Chordata; Testudines; Testudinidae
Exons: 3
Source: RefSeq, a predicted model, not a curated record